This 468-nucleotide ribosomal RNA is filed under the name uncultured bacterium. Its description in RNAcentral is "partial 16S ribosomal RNA". It matches the Rfam family "Bacterial small subunit ribosomal RNA", at positions 28 to 507 of the family's 1533-position model. The record is from RNAcentral.
GACGAACGCUGGCGGCGGGCUUAACACAUGCAAGUCGAACGGAAACGCCCUGCUUUUGUGGGGUGCUCGAGUGGCGAACGGGUGAGUGACACGUGAGUAACCUGCCCUUGUCUUUCGGAUAACAUCAGGAAACUGGGGCUACUACCGUAUCGCAGCUGAUCUUGGAGGGUGGGGGUUGGAUAUUUUCGGCGGUUGGGGCUGGACGGGCGGCUUACGAACUUGCUGGUGGGGUAGGUGCAGACCAAGGCUUUGGCGGGUAGCCGGCCGGGGAGGGGGAACGGCCACAUUGGGACUGCGAGAGGGACCAGACUCGUACGGGAGGCAGCAGUGGGGAAUAUUGCACAAUGGGCGGAAGCCUGAUGCAGCAACGCCGCGUGCGGGAUGACGGCCUUCGGGGUGUAAACCGCUGUCGCCUGUGACGAAGCGUGAGUGACGGUACUGGGUAAAGAAGCACCGGCUAACUACGUG